RNAcentral lists this ribosomal RNA (584 nucleotides) under uncultured bacterium. RNAcentral's name for it is "partial 16S ribosomal RNA". It matches the Rfam family "Bacterial small subunit ribosomal RNA", at positions 355 to 1375 of the family's 1533-position model. The record is from RNAcentral.
UGGGGAAUUUUGGACAAUGGGCGAAAGCCUGAUCCAGCAAUGCCGCGUGUGUGAAGAAGGCCUUCGGGUUGUAAAGCACUUUUGUCCGGAAAGAAAUCCUUGGCUCUAAUACAGUCGGGGGAUGACGGUACCGGAAGAAUAAGCACCGGCUAACUACGUGCCAGCAGCCGCGGUAAUACGUAGGGUGCAAGCGUUAAUCGGAAUUACUGGGCGUAAAGCGUGCGCAGGCGGUUUGCUAAGACCGAUGUGAAAUCCCCGGGCUCAACCUGGGAACUGCAUUGGUGACUGGCAGGCUAGAGUAUGGCAGAGGGGGGUAGAAUUCCACGUGUAGCAGUGAAAUGCGUAGAGAUGUGGAGGAAUACCGAUGGCGAAGGCAGCCCCCUGGGCCAAUACUGACGCUCAUGCACGAAAGCGUGGGGAGCAAACAGGAUUAGAUACCCUGGUAGUCCACGCCCUAAACGAUGUCAACUAGUUGUUGGGGAUUCAUUCCUUAGUAACGUAGCUAACGCGUGAAGUUGACCGCCUGGGGAGUACGGUCGCAAGAUUAAAACUUAAAUGAAUUGACGGGGUCAUAGCUGUUUCCU